AUAAAAAAUGUUUGUCUAUUGCAUUCUAAACUAUCUUUCACCGUUUCAUGAGUUCCAACAAUAGUGCAGACCAAGAUACUGAUUAUCAAAAGACAUGCCCUUAAUAAGGUGGUUAUGAGAUUGUUCAACUUCCUCUGUUAGUUUACAUUAGAAAGUUCAAGUCAGUGAGGUUUAGCAAAUUUCUCCUAUACAAUGUCAUUGAUUCUAUCCGAUUAUGGGAUAUCAGCUGGUAAGCUGUCAUUUAAGACAUUAGCACGAACAUGUUUUCUUACAUGUGAUGCAAACAGAUGAGAAGACUACACGACUUUGUGAACUGGUGUUUGUCGACAAUUUCUCUAUUCCUUAGAGUUCCAGUUAUAUAUAACAUUUGCUGCACAUCGGGACGUAGAGCAGUUCAAGAAUAUCAUCACAAUAUAUAUGUGUAACUAAUACUCCUAUCACUUUAAAAAAAUAUGCAAUUCCUCUAAGCUGUCUCCAACACAGAUAUAUUUGAGAGUUCAGACCUACUUUAGUCUAAUGUACUCUUAAUCAAUUGAUCAUUUCUUCAAAGACAGAGCAAAAUGUAAAAUAUUACUAAUUGUAUCCGAAUGAUAUGUGUGAGCUCAUUAUGUAAUAAAAUAAUACUUUUUGAGUUCAGUUACGCUCUGGGGCACAUGGUGCAACAUCAAUGUACUAUCACUUAUGGGUUAGUCCGUUAUACAAUAACAUGUGCUUUAUAUUGUUUGCUAUAUUUACUACUACCUCUGAUAUAAAUUAGUUGUCAUAGUUUCAAUAGAUUUAGGCAAUAUUUUGCCUAAAUAUGUGACAAUUAAUUUGGAUCGGAGGAAGUAAUUUUUAGAUAUACGUCUAAGUUGUAAGCCUAGCGAUGACCCGCUUCCUGAGCGCCUCCUCCGCAAGCUUGAGAUAUUCCGAGUAAUAUGGAGCCCAAGUAAAAUCUCACAUUUUAUUAUCUAUGGGGAUUUAAAUUGUGCUCAACAUUUAGCAAGUUGAAGACUUUGUUGCUCGGCAAAUGGUAGGCCUCGCCAUCCCACUGUCCCAAGUGACCUCAUUGUGUUAGGUUGCUUCCUCCAGCACUCAACAAUACUGGACAAGCUUACACUCCAGCUUUCAAGCGUAAUAUAUAUUUUAUAGCUUCAUAAAUAUGUGUUACUGAAGUUUAUUACCAUCCAUGAUAGAUUAAUGUUAUAAAAUAUUUUAGUGCUUUUAGGUAGCUAAAGUUCCAGCGCAAAUAAGAAGUUAUAAUUCAUUAGAACAAUCAUUUAAAAACAGCCAAAUGAAGAUAGUUGAGAUGAAAAUAGCUACAACAGGCUAAAAGUCAUCUCGAGGAAAUUUCUGUAUCACUGGGAUGGGUAUAAACUUACUUUUACAUGAAAUUUAUCACUAGGUAUAUUUCUUCAUUUUUAAUUCCAUCUAUUCUCUCCAUGCAAGAUUCUUAGGAUUUCUCUAUCUUCAGAUAACCUGCAACAAUGCUUAUCUCCAGCUAUCAUCUCUGUAAACUGAAAUUGUCCAUCCUAUAAUUAAUUUGUUGUAAGUGGUUACAUAUAUCUCAAGAGAUUGUCUGAGUAGCCCGACGGUGUAGUUACUGUUGAAAUUGAUCUUCUGUUCUUUGAAAAGGAUGGCAAUUGAUUUCUGUAAAUCUGCAUUUGAUCACUGUGACAUUUACUGUUAUGAGAAUUCAGCAAAGCUACCAAGUCUAUACCUUCUGCCUUAUCCUACCAUCUGAAUUUUUGAGGAUACUACAAAUGUAGGUGGGGUUCCUCACAGAAUAUUACUCUACCUUAUGCUACAAAAGCUUGGUGUUUCAAAGGCUGAAUACCAUCUUAAACUAUGCGAAGAUAGCAAAGUUCGUGUGACCUUUUGAUACCUCUACCUUACCACUUGAAGGUACCACUAUGCACAUGAGGGUGUGUGUGGAAUCCAAUCUACAGUUUAUGAAAUAGCAGAAGAUUCUGUAUCAGAGAUUUCAACUACAUUCAGCUCACAAGACUGGAAGAACAGAAUAAAUCCCUACUAGGUCAGCUUAUACAAUCAAAUGAAUUCAAGAAACAACUUGUGAGAGGAUGGUUAUUUCUCCGAAAAUGAUGGUUGUGUAUCUUAACCACUCGAAAUAAGAUAGCCAUAUAGACAAGGUUCGGAACACUCUCCUGGUCAACUUUCAGGAUUAGACUUAAACAUGCAGGCAGAGUUUUGUAGAGACCUCUAUAGCCUCUCCAGUAUGGCCAUUUUGUACUUUUUAAGUACUGCAUGUCAUAACCUUGUUGUUUGGUUUAUUAGACUAUGCAACUUCAGUAAUUGUAGCCACAAAUUAUCACAGAUUAUUAUAAAGUAUUUUCCCUAUAUCUUUCUCCUGGCUUUUUAUCGGCUUCGUUUCUUAAAAUCUAAGACACGUAUUAUCAGUUAUCGUUAUACAAAGUAUACAUUAGCAUGAGUU
This is a long non-coding RNA of Lolium perenne, 2431 nucleotides long. RefSeq lists it as uncharacterized. NCBI's taxonomy places the organism in Eukaryota, Viridiplantae, Streptophyta, Magnoliopsida, Poales, Poaceae. The record is from RefSeq and is a predicted model, not a curated record.